This 468-nucleotide ribosomal RNA is filed under the name uncultured bacterium. RNAcentral's name for it is "partial 16S ribosomal RNA". It matches the Rfam family "Bacterial small subunit ribosomal RNA", at positions 28 to 507 of the family's 1533-position model. The record is from RNAcentral.
GACGAACGCUGGCGGCGUGCUUAACACAUGCAAGUCGAACGGAAAGGCCCUGCGUUUGUGGGGUGCUCGAGUGGCGAACGGGUGAGUAACACGUGAGUAACCUGCCCUUGACUUUGGGAUAACUUCAGGAGACUGGGGCGAAUACCGGAGAGGAGCUCCUGCUCCAUGUUGGUGGUUGGAAAGUUUCGGCGGUUGGGUAUGGACUCGCGGCUUAUCAGCUUGUUGGUGGGGUAGUUGCUUACCAAGGCUUUGACGGGUAGCCGGCAUUAGAGGGUUAACGGCGACAUUGGGACUGAGAUAGGGCGCAGACUCCUACGGGAGGCAGCAGUGGGGAAUAUUGCACAAUGGGCGCAAGCGUGAUGCAGAAACGCCGCGUGCGGGAUGACGGCUUUCGGGUUGUAAACCGCUUUCGACUGAGACGAACCGUGCGUGACGGUAAUGGGUCAAGAAGCAACGGCUAACUACGUG